This 546-nucleotide long non-coding RNA is filed under the name Amborella trichopoda. RNAcentral describes it as "long non-coding RNA (ATRI_LNC001478)". Lineage: Eukaryota; Viridiplantae; Streptophyta; Magnoliopsida; Amborellales; Amborellaceae. The record is from RNAcentral.
GGGGGAGGUGAGGUGGCAGCAAGCCACCUCCAAAUGUCAUAGAGAGGGCAGCAAGUGGCACAAGGAGGGCACAAGUUACACAAGGAGAGGGUCGUGUCUUGCAAGGCCUCAGCCUAUCGUAAACUCCAAAACGCGUUGGGGACUGUGUGUGUGAGUGAGAUCAUUACGAAGUGAGGCCCCCACUUGUCAUUGUCCUCCCUCUUAAAUGAGAGUAGAAGUCCCAAGUUACAAGAUUGACUUAGCCUGAUCGAUGUGAUUUCUACUUCAGGAAUAGACCCUAUUAAUUUUUGUAUGUCUGAACUGUAUGCUCUAGCCAAGCUUCUAAUUGUGUGAUAGUGAUAUAUGUCUGUAUAACUGUUUAAUUUAUGAAACAUGGAAAGCUCUGAGAUCUGAACUCUUUAUGUUCACUCUAUUUGUAUAUACUGAUGUAUGAUUGUACUAUGUGAUCUUGCAUAAAUUGUGAUAGUUGUGGGUCUGUUAUCCUUUAUAAGUGCAUCCAGGUUGGAAUGCAAGGGUACUGAUUCACUUACUGAGCCUUUAGCUCAU